RNAcentral lists this ribosomal RNA (497 nucleotides) under uncultured bacterium. RNAcentral's name for it is "partial 16S ribosomal RNA". It matches the Rfam family "Bacterial small subunit ribosomal RNA", at positions 28 to 507 of the family's 1533-position model. The record is from RNAcentral.
GAUGAACGCUGGCGGCGUGCCUAAUACAUGCAAGUCGAGCGAACGGACGAGAAGCUUGCUUCUCUGAUGUUAGCGGCGGACGGGUGAGUAACACGUGGAUAACCUACCUAUAAGACUGGGAUAACUUCGGGAAACCGUAGCUAAUACCGGAUAAUAUUUUGAACCGCAUGGUUCAAAAGUGAAAGACGGUCUUGCUGUCACUUAUAGAUGGAUCCGCGCUGCAUUAGCUAGUUGGUAAGGUAACGGCUUACCAAGGCAACGAUGCAUAGCCGACCUGAGAGGGUGAUCGGCCACACUGGAACUGAGACACGGUCCAGACUCCUACGGGAGGCAGCAGUAGGGAAUCUUCCGCAAUGGGCGAAAGCCUGACGGAGCAACGCCGCGUGAGUGAUGAUGGUCUUCGGAUCGUAAAACUCUGUUAUUAGGGAAGAACAUAUGUGUAAGUAACUGUGCACAUCUUGACGGUACCUAAUCAGAAAGCCACGGCUAACUACGCG